UGACAUUGCUAACAGGACAAAGAGGAAACAGUGAAAUUAAGAAUGCUGCAAUCUGAUGACAAAUGAACUGAAACAAAAGUGUUGAAUAUUUCAGUACUGCCCGAUCAUUCUUCACAUCUGUCUAUCUGCUUCGGGUCCGCUCAAGGUUUUGUUCUCUGUUGUCAAUGUUCACUCUUCACGUUUCUUCGACAGAUGACCCUGAACUCUCAACAUCUUUCUCCAAUCUUACUCGGAGCAAAGAGAGGCUACAUUCACUCGGCUUGGGUCUCGGACCGAGGGCGGUUCAGCGUGGUCUACUGCGCGCGGCCUGCAGAGAUGUGGACACGCAACAGCGGACGUCCAGUCGGGGGUUGCGGUCAGGCCACUAAGCCCAGCCUGGAGAUCUUGGCAGAGAGGAAGGAGUGGACGAUAAAGACGAUUGGCUUGGGACACGAGUGCAGGUCCAGUUGCUGCAGGAGAACAAUGGAUACGGUGACAUUCUGGACGCAACAUGAAACACGAAGGAAGGGAAAUAAACAGCCGCAUCCUGAGUCUUUGCGUGAUGACCGAAUACUGUAACACCAACAGCUCAGCAUGACUACCGUCCAGGAGUAGCAUCCGAACUCCAUCGUCCGACGACAUCCUCAGUUUUUCGUAAGGGUAGGACAGGAGCACACGUUUUUUGGUCGGACUUUGCCGUGGCCCCUCGUCCUGGUUCUCACCGUCUCGGACUUUGGCUUCAGCCAACACGGAGAAGCCCUGCUCGUAGUGGAUCACCAGCCGGCACUCCUGACCCAGUUGCAGACAUCCAACGUUUUUCCCUCGAGCACGUUUGGAGUGCGUCACUGUGAAGACGAACCCACCGUGUCGCCAGAAGAGGAUACGUGUGCGCUGGACUCUGCCAGGCCUCCUUGCUCCAGUGGCAGGCUGUCAUAGAGCAGCAGGUCUUUCUCCGUCACCACCGCCAGCACGGGCUUCCAGCGCUGCUUCUCGCUCUCGCUUUGCUGCCCAAAUACGAGAAACGCAACUCAGUGGAGAGCAUCGACCUCCGACGGGCUGAACGAUCCUAAUCGCUGCCGACAGCAAAUCGCGAGUGUUCGGACAAUGCCAACUUUUGCAUACGCUUGAAUUAAUCCGAACAUGAAGAGAUUUAAAUGAAUACAAUAUUUGCAGAGCUCACACCCCAUUCUUCUGUAAACUGUCCAUUCAUCCAAGUUCUGGUUUUAGGUAUUAGAUACCAGACUUCAGACUUGUAUAGCAACGGAUUACGGACGUCUGGAAGCGGUAUCGAAAAUUGAUGGAGCAAUUAGGGAUGUUUGACACCACUUUUUUUUUUUUUCUAACCAAUGCCAGUACGAGUAUUCACCUUUGAUACGUACAAUUUCAAUUAACACAAUAACGGAUGAUUGUGAACAAAACACUUUCUGAUGCACAUGAUUCACACGUUUCAAACCGUUACAGUGUAGCGCCAACUAAUGGUGAGGAGGACAUAUUUCAUAUCAGAUUUUUUUUCCCCCUUAAGUAUCGGUGUCUGGCAUGACGAGUACCCAAUACCUUGAAAUGAGGUCGCUACCGGUCCAAUACACUGCAAAAACCCAAAAUCAUACCAAGAAUAUUUUUCAUAUAUCUAGUCAAAGGUCUCGAAACUAAUCUGAUUCCACUUAAAAUAGAGCUCAUCACCUAAGAAUGUAAAAAAAAUAUUAAAUAAAAAAGAAAUAACAAUUUCCAUUUCAAGUAAAAAUGAACUUGAAUUAAGUUGGAAAAAAAUGCCAGUGGAGUACAUUUUGUUCAACUUAUUUCAAGUAUAAAAACAAUUGCUCGAAGCAAGUAGAAAUUGUCUAAAAAUAUGUUAUGUAUUUUAAUUAUUUUUGACUAGUAAUAAGACAAAAACUCUUGUUAAGAUUUGUUUGCCGUGUACCAAUACCUGAUUUUGGUACUUGCCCUACCCUAGUAUAGAUGGUGGCACACUAUUCGUUAAGACAUUCGUGAGACAUCUUUGGUUAUCCGACACAGAGAAAACUGUCAAAAUCCAUUUGCUCCAUUGUCUGAAAAUUGCUUUUAAACAAUGGACCAGUUGUUUCAAACGUUUGUGCUGUCAUCCUCUAAACCUAAUGUGCAUUUUUUACAUGUCAAUGAAGGUGCAAAGUGCUGAAAAUGUUUCUUACCAAAGUUGCUCAAGCACAAACUCCAACAAACAAAGGAGUAAUGUCUCUGGAAUACAUAAAAUCUGGAACUGUGUUAAAUGCAGACUUAACGCCUUUUAUUUUUCUCUUCUUUCUCAAGUCAAUAACCAAAACAGAAUGCCGGAGGAAUGCGGACCAUUCGGGAUGUGUGAUAGAAAUGCUAAUUUAUUUCUGGUGUUGAUGCAUCGGUACAUGACUGAAACAUUUGCUUUCUCGUGCAACCCCCAUCUUUCAAACAACCCCCCCCCCCCCCCCCCCCACACACACACACAGUUAAUCCUUUAUAUUCCCAGCUCAUAUACAUUUGCUACCCACCGCCUGGCAUUUUACGUUCAUAACUGUUCUCAUUAUGAGACUAUCUGCAGCUCAGCUACGGAAUCCUAAGCUGCUCUUUGACAUUCUGUCUCAGCCAAUCACAUCGCAUGAUUUUACAGGCUCAAGUGUCACCGUUUGAACAUAAUGAGAAUUUGUCGUUGAGUAGCAAUAAUGGUUAGAAUUUGAUGAUAAAAUAUGGCAGAUUUGGAUUGAAGUCGACAGAUGGAGUCAUUACGGUGGCUUUCGCGUGAUUGGCUGCUUGCUGUGUGCGUGGGGGACAUUCCUGAUAAUUCUACAUGUGUGCUUGUGUGUGGGGGGCGACGGGCUUUGUUGCGCACCUUUCUCAGCUUCUAACAUUAACCGUCACGAUCUAAACGAUCGCACAUUCAGCAAACCAAGAACAGUGGCACCUUGAAUUGAUCAAAUCAAUAUUUGCCAUUAAAACGAACUGAUCCAUUCCAGACCACCCAAAAAAAAUAAAAAUAAAUAAAAAAAACUCUACAAUGUUUUUGGAACAUUUUUUUUAAGGACAAGAAAAUACUGUAUUGUAUAAAAACAUAAAAGAGAAUGUAAAUAAUCAGGUUUUAUAAAUGGUAAUAAUUAUGCUGUUCAACAAAAAACACCAACACAUACUGCACACGUCGUCACACACAAACUAGAACAACAACAAAAAAAACUACAAAAAUACUACAGACACCACCACAACACACACACACACACACACACACAUUGUCCUCACCUUCCCUGCCAGCCAUCCCAGGUGUCGAAUCUCUUUGCUGCCCGCAAGCCCGGUCCUGGUUGUGUGACGAAUCACCUCAGCAAGCGCUCGCUGCGAUGAGAUGAUAGCGUUCAUUCGGAAAGUCUACAUACACGUUACACGUCCGAUCUGUGAUACGGGCUAUACUUUGCUGUGCAAGUGUGAGACAGACCUGCGUCAGUGUGGAUGUGACAGCAUGCAUGGCGGAGAACCAAGUGAGGGCAGACGGCUGGUCUGGACAGCGCAGGACCACCGUGUGUUUGGCGUCGGGGGAGUGCAGCUCCACCUGUCUGGAGAAGACAAUUUCAUCACAGGAUUAUUUAUUCUUUCCCUU
Molecule: long non-coding RNA, 3568 nt
Organism: Phycodurus eques (leafy seadragon)
Lineage: Eukaryota; Metazoa; Chordata; Actinopteri; Syngnathiformes; Syngnathidae
Exons: 4
Source: RefSeq, a predicted model, not a curated record